This 253-nucleotide ribosomal RNA is filed under the name uncultured bacterium. RNAcentral describes it as "partial 16S ribosomal RNA". It matches the Rfam family "Bacterial small subunit ribosomal RNA", at positions 524 to 776 of the family's 1533-position model. The record is from RNAcentral.
UACGUAGGGUGCGAGCGUUGCCCGGAUUUAUUGGGCAUAAAGGGCGCGUAGGCGGCCACGCACGUCCGUUGUGAAAUCGCCCGGCUCAACUGGGCGGGGUCAGCGGAUACGGCGUGGCUAGAGCAAGCUAGGGGGCAAUGGAAUUCCCGGUGUAGUGGUGGAAUGCGUAGAUAUCCGGAGGAACACCGAAGGCGAAGGCAGUGUCCUGGGGAGCACCUGACGCUCAGAUGCGAAAGCCAGGGGAGCGAACGGG